Molecule: long non-coding RNA, 310 nt
Filed under: Panax ginseng (ginseng)
Lineage: Eukaryota; Viridiplantae; Streptophyta; Magnoliopsida; Apiales; Araliaceae
Description: long non-coding RNA (PGIN_LNC011108)
Source: RNAcentral
AGUCGUGAGCACAAAUUCAACAGGGAGCUCAUCCCGCAGUUGCAAAUGUUGAAAAAUUGACAAAGCUAUUGUAGAAAAGAAACAUCAAGAGUUGGUGGCAAAAAUUGAGGAGAUGCAAUUGAACAACGAAAAACUGAAGAAAAAGUGGUGUACUCGGUUUUUCUUUUUUCUUUCAUGUUGUUGUUUAUAAUGAAGUUGUAGUUCCCUUAUAAAAAGUGGUGUACUCGUUGCUUUGUAAUAAAAUUAUUUAAUGUAAUGAAGUUGUAGUUCCCUUAUUUAACAUCUUAUUCUACCAUUAAUUGUGUGCGAG